UGAUAAGAAGCACAUGUGUCAAUCACUCACUCAAGAUCCUGACACACACAAGAAAAAAUAUCAUCAGAAGGAGACAAAAUCAAAUAAUCACCACCCUGCAUUAUAGCGAUGAUAUUAUCUUUAGACUCUAUAGACUCCACUUCUUUUCCCUUUUUCUUGCUCUUCUUAGGUUGUUUACAUUGGUUCUUGUAAUAUCCUUUCUC
Molecule: long non-coding RNA, 203 nt
Filed under: Musa acuminata (dwarf banana)
Lineage: Eukaryota; Viridiplantae; Streptophyta; Magnoliopsida; Zingiberales; Musaceae
Description: long non-coding RNA (MACU_LNC010717)
Source: RNAcentral